This is a non-coding RNA of Ciborinia camelliae, 90 nucleotides long. The record is from the annotation of a GenBank genome assembly. Lineage: Eukaryota; Fungi; Ascomycota; Leotiomycetes; Helotiales; Sclerotiniaceae.
UCCGGCAUGGUGUAGUGGUUAGCAUUUCCGCCUUUCAUGAUUCUCCAAGAAAGUUCGCGGGAGACCGGGGUUCAAUUCCCCGUACCGGAA